This 255-nucleotide ribosomal RNA is filed under the name uncultured bacterium. RNAcentral describes it as "partial 16S ribosomal RNA". It matches the Rfam family "Bacterial small subunit ribosomal RNA", at positions 524 to 776 of the family's 1533-position model. The record is from RNAcentral.
UACGAAGGGUGCGAAGCGUUGCUCGGAAUUAUUGGGCGUAAAGGGUAGGUAGGUGGUGACAUUUGUCUGGGGUGAAGUCCCUGAGCUUAACUCAGGAAGUGCCUUGGAAACGGUGUCACUAGAGUGCUUGGAGAGGUUCGCAGAAUUCUUGGUGUAGCGGUGAAAUGCGUAGAGAUCAAGAGGAAUACCAGAGGCGAAGGCGGCGAACUGGACAGUUACUGACACUAAACUACGAAAGCGUGGGGAGCAAACAGG